This 1308-nucleotide long non-coding RNA is filed under the name Phasianus colchicus (ring-necked pheasant). RNAcentral's name for it is "lncRNA (ENSPCLG00000022235.1)". The record is from RNAcentral. Lineage: Eukaryota; Metazoa; Chordata; Aves; Galliformes; Phasianidae.
UACAUUCUUCUUGUGGACUUGCAGUGCAAAAUUUUGUGGCGGGAUCUGAUCUGUGUUAGAAUGACCUUCUGGACUUGGCGUAAGGGUCUCCUUGCUGGUGCAUUUGGUGGUUUCUGUUCUUUGCUGAAGCAUGUUUCUGGGUGGCCUCCUGUCUUUUCUGCCAGUCACGCAUGUUGGUGACCCUGAAUUUCCGGCCUCAUCCUCCACCCCUGCACAUGAGUGAGGUCAGGCUUGGUGUGCUCUGGUGACACGGUCGGUGUGGUGGAGGUGCUCUGUUGGGGUUAGCUGGGUGACUUGCUCUUGUGACUCAGCAGUGACACCAUCUCCAGAGAGUGUUGUCCUGGUGGUGAGGGCAGGGCAGUCACACAGGAACCAUGCCCUACACAUUCUGUCUUUAAAUCCUUGCACCUCCUUGCCCUGCAGGACACACAAAAAUCUGGCUGUGGUGCGGCCGCUCAUUCCUGAGUUACAGGAUCAGGUUUCCUGCUGUGGUCUCUUCUUCUGAAGGUCUUCCCUCUCCACCUGUCACUGGCAUAUGUAGAUACAGCCAACAUCUUCCUACAGUGUGGCAAUCACAUGCUACCUCGGGGUCUCAAAAGCCACUGACAGUAUGGAAGGAGAAGGGGAGGUCUUCACGCCUUCUCUCCUACCGUGCUUUCUGCCAGGCAGCAGAACAUGCGUUCUGGUGUGCUGUGAUAUAGGAAGGCGGGAAGCAAUGUGGGUGAAGGUUUGGUUGGCCUCUAAAGCUGACUGUGCCAUCGUCCCAGCAGUCACCGUGUCCACGGAUGUUUUCCACCCAGAAGAAGCAACCAGCAGGCCCCUGGCACCCAGCACUCAGCCUGGAAGUGAAAGUGGACAAGCAAAUGCCACAGAUGGUUCUCAUGUCAGUUUGAUACCUGGAGUUUUUCCAGACAUUGAUGAUCAUCUUAACCCAUUACCGACUCAUCUUUCUACUACUCUUGCCACACCUGAUGAUGGUGCUCCUCAUGAAGACCCAAUUCAGCCAACUCUGCCUUCAGAAAAAGAAGCAGCACAGAGCACUGAAGGCAUCACACAUUCCACUGAUGCCCCUGGGGGUCCAGUUCUCCUUGGGCUGGAUCCUGCCAGUACAAAUGAAGCUGGUAAGGAAUCUCUGUUCACAAGUACCAGUAAGAAUAAUGGAUCAUGCUCAUUUCUCACACAGCAUGUGAAAUGAGACAUUAUUUCUUCUGAAAUUGACUCCUUCUACUCUCUUUCUUAUCUUUGGGUCUGCAUUCUUCUUUUAGACUUGCGGUAUCAUAAACUGUUUAAUGAUCCUGUUGCAUGUUA